RNAcentral lists this ribosomal RNA (207 nucleotides) under uncultured bacterium. RNAcentral describes it as "partial 16S ribosomal RNA". It matches the Rfam family "Bacterial small subunit ribosomal RNA", at positions 568 to 774 of the family's 1533-position model. The record is from RNAcentral.
CGCGUAGACGGUUACAUAAGUCGGGUGUGAAAGCCCCGGGCUCAACCCGGGAAUUGCAUUCGAGACUGCGUAGCUAGGGUGCGGAAGAGGGAAGCGGAACUUCCGGUGUAGCGGUGAAAUGCGUAGAUAUCGGAAGGAACACCAGUGGCGAAAGCGGCUUCCUGGUCCAGCACCGACGUUCAGGCGCGAAAGCGUGGGGAGCAAACA